CCUGGACGCAAUAGAGCAUGCCUAUAGUCCUAGCCACUUGGGAGUCUGAGACAGGAGGAUCACUUGAGUCCAAGAGUUCUGGGUUGUCAUGCACUAUGCUGAUUGGAUGUCUACACUAAGUUCAGCAUCAAUAUUGUGACCUCCUGGGAGCAGGAGCCCAGGUUACCUAAGAAGGGGUGAACUGUCCCAAGUUGGAAAUGGAUCAGGUUAAAACUCCUGUACGGAUCCGUAGUGGGACUGCACCCGUCAAUAGCCACUGUACGCCAGCUGGGACAACAUAGCAAGAACUUGUCU
Otolemur garnettii (small-eared galago) is the source of this 294-nucleotide unclassified non-coding RNA. It matches the Rfam family "Metazoan signal recognition particle RNA". From Rfam's summary of the family: The signal recognition particle (SRP) is a universally conserved ribonucleoprotein. The record is from Ensembl. NCBI's taxonomy places the organism in Eukaryota, Metazoa, Chordata, Mammalia, Primates, Galagidae.